This is a long non-coding RNA of Macrobrachium nipponense, 585 nucleotides long. RefSeq lists it as uncharacterized. Lineage: Eukaryota; Metazoa; Arthropoda; Malacostraca; Decapoda; Palaemonidae. The transcript has 3 exons. The record is from RefSeq and is a predicted model, not a curated record.
AAAGAUUCAGUGAUAAAGUUUAAAGUAAAAGAUUUUUUACAUAGUUGUUGGUCUCAUAUAAAUUUUAGAUCUGAUAUUUCUUAUGAGUUAUUUAAUAUUAUUAGUGUUUAUUGUGGAAUCUGAACAAACAUUGUACAAGUGUGUAACGGCACCCUUUUUUUCUAGAUAUUGUGUGGAAGUAACUGCAGCAGAAAAUUGGUACCAAGGAUGCCCUGCUCUUGGGGGGUUAAGCUGACCCCAAACAACCAUGCUACACACCUGCCUUCGACCUCAGUCGCUUCCAGUCGUGACAUCGGACGGAUGUCCCAGCCAGCCUAGCCUUCCAUUUAGGCCUACCAACUACCAAGGCGUUACUGGCGCGCCCAGACCUGAGACAAAGCCGAUGCCGCAUUUCUACAAAGGUCCACUGAUUAUGGCAUCCAGAUUUCCUGAGUCACGUGUCCAAGUCUUCGCGCCCGCAAGUGAUGCUUUACCGCAAGACAUAUGAACAAUUUUGAAAGCCAGCUUUUACGUGAACCGCAUUUUUAGCCAACUAUCCCCUUGUGAGAGAUGAUAUUGGUCCCACAUGUGGACAAGUUGCAUUUA